UACAGAGGGUGCAAGCGUUGUUCGGAAUUAUUGGGCGUAAAGCGCGUGUAGGCGGCUUGGCAAGUCGGGUGUGAAAUCCCUCAGCUUAACUGAGGAAGUGCACCCGAAACUGAGUAGCUAGAGUACUAAAGAGGGUCGCGGAAUUCCCGGUGUAGAGGUGAAAUUCGUAGAUAUCGGGAGGAACACCGGUGGCGAAGGCGGCGACCUGGGUAGAUACUGACGCUGAGGCGCGAAAGCGUGGGGAGCAAACAGG
This 253-nucleotide ribosomal RNA is filed under the name uncultured bacterium. Its description in RNAcentral is "partial 16S ribosomal RNA". It matches the Rfam family "Bacterial small subunit ribosomal RNA", at positions 524 to 776 of the family's 1533-position model. The record is from RNAcentral.